Molecule: ribosomal RNA, 429 nt
Filed under: Bacteroidota bacterium
Lineage: Bacteria; Pseudomonadati; Bacteroidota
Description: Bacteroidetes bacterium partial 16S ribosomal RNA
Rfam family: Bacterial small subunit ribosomal RNA
Source: RNAcentral
UAGGGAAUCUUCCGCAAUGGACGCAAGUCUGACGGAGCAACGCCGCGUGAGUGAAGAAGGAUUUCGGUUCGUAAAACUCUGUUGUUAGAGAAGAACAGCGCAUAGAGUAACUGUUAUGCGUGUGACGGUAUCUAACCAGAAAGCCGCGGCUAACUACGUGCCAGCAGCCGCGGUAAUACGUAGGUGGCAAGCGUUGUCCGGAUUUAUUGGGCGUAAAGCGAGCGCAGGCGGUCAAUUAAGUCUGAUGUGAAAGCCCCCGGCUCAACCGGGGAGGGUCAUUGGAAACUGGUUGACUUGAGUGCAGAAGAGGAGAGUGGAAUUCCAUGUGUAGCGGUGAAAUGCGUAGAUAUAUGGAGGAACACCAGUGGCGAAGGAGACUCUCUGGUCUGUAACUGACGCUGAGGCUCGAAAGCGUGGGUAGCAAACAGG